GAUGAACGCUGGCGGCGUGCCUAAUACAUGCAAGUCGAGCGAACAGACGAGGAGCUUUCUCCUAUGACGUUAGCGGCGGACGGGAGAGUAACACGUGGAUAACCUACCUAUAAGACUGGGAUAACUUCGGGAAACCGGAGCUAAUACCGGAUAAUAUAUUGAACCGCAUGGUUCACUCGUGAAAGUCGGUUUUUCGUUCACUUAUAGGUUGAUCCGCGCCGCAUUCGCUAGUUGGUAAGGUAACGGGUUACCAAGGCGACGAUGCGUAUCCGACCUGAAAGGGGCAGCGGGCACACUGGAAGUGAGGCAGGUUCCACACUCUUGCGGGGGGCAGCAGUAGGGAAUCCUCCGGGAUGGGCGAAAGCGUGACGGAGCAAAGCCGCGUGAGGCAUGAAGGUCUUAUGAUCGUAAAACUCUGUUAUUAGGGAAGAACAAAAGUGCUAGUAACGAUGAACGUCUUGACGGUACCUAGUCAGAAAGCCACGGCUAACUACGUG
This 497-nucleotide ribosomal RNA is filed under the name uncultured bacterium. RNAcentral describes it as "partial 16S ribosomal RNA". It matches the Rfam family "Bacterial small subunit ribosomal RNA", at positions 28 to 507 of the family's 1533-position model. The record is from RNAcentral.